This is a long non-coding RNA of Phyllopteryx taeniolatus (common seadragon), 4213 nucleotides long. RefSeq lists it as uncharacterized. The record is from RefSeq and is a predicted model, not a curated record. NCBI's taxonomy places the organism in Eukaryota, Metazoa, Chordata, Actinopteri, Syngnathiformes, Syngnathidae. The transcript has 2 exons.
UGUCUUGAAAUUGGAAUUAUGCUUCUUAAUCGGCUACUUCCUCCACGCUUGUGCAAAUAAUCCCUAAAUUGUCCAACGCGCUGCUUUUGCUGUGCUUUUAGAGUUUCUAAACCGCGCCGUGCCGAUUUGAUCUGCAACGUGCAGCUCGUGAACGCACCCCCAGCCUGCUCUCACGCGGUUCAUUUGAUUGGCUAAACGGUCCAAAGCGUCGUCGGGCAAAAUGGGAGACGAAUGGUGGCAGCAUGACUGUAAAUCAGACAACGUUUCGGCUCCUUGAGCCUUCCUCAGGUUAACUGGCACACAGUCACAGCACAGCAGGUUUGUGAUGUUCGCACUCCGGUGAACCAACUCUAACUGAGCCCAAGUAAGUGCACCUUUUUGUCUUUUUUCUCUCCCUAUAUAACCUCUGCUGUCCUUGUAUUUGCUUUUCUUUUUAACACACUACCAUUUUGUGUUUCAAUUUAGAAAUUAACCCCAUACUAGCCAAAUGUUUUGUAAUGUCCCUAUAAAUCCCUGUAUAUUCCACCCAAUGAUGUCCCAAUUUGAUAUAACAUUGUUUUUAUUAUUAUAACACUUAAUUAUUAAUUAUGUUUAAUAGUAUUUAUAUUUUUUUCAUCUAUUUUUUUAUUUGUUUUUUAGUUUUUUUGUAUUUUUUAAUUUUUUUGGAUUUUAAUGCCUUUUAACUCAUAGGAACUAUUGUUUAACUGUUCUUAACUCUUUUGACGCUCAUUAAUCCUUUUUAAUAGCUUUUAAAUGACUUUUUAAUAACUUUUUAACUUUUUAAUAACUUAAAUAACUAUUUAAUAACCCUUUUAACCAUUAGGGUUAGGGUUAGGGUUAGGUGAGGGGAACCGAACCCUCCCUCUCCCAGUAUAGGGGAAAUAAUUCCCCUUCCGGGAUCGGGGGGGGAGAUGCACGGUCCAUCCCCCUACGCCAUCUCCCGUCUCCAUUUCCCCAUUCCUGGCGGCGUGCCGGCUGGCCCCGCCGGUCAUAGUGGGCCACUUUCCACUCUCCACCAGUCAUCUUUGUUUUCAUUUUCUUUUUUGUAUUUCCAAAUGAAUUGUCUAGAGUCUCCUUUGUUAUUUAUGUAAUAUUUUUUUCUUUUAGAUGUGCUAUUUAUUAAUAGUUAUGAAUUUGUAAUAUAUUUCUAAUGAUAACAACAAAAACCCACAAAAAAAUCCCCCCAAACUUUUUUUGUCGACCAAACGGUGUGCCUCGACAACGUUUCGGCUCUAAGGAGCCUUCCUCAGGUCCUGGCACACCAAAUUCAAAAAAUACAAUGCACAAUUAGGCGAUGUUUACUGUCCAAACAUCGAAACCAAACUGAGUCAGUAAAAACGUUCUUCCCUUUUAUACACACUGUUUUUUGUCCUAUGUUUAAAAAGAUCUUUUCAAAGAAUAAUAUGUGCAAAGUGCUUGUGUGCGUUGUGCCACAUGUGAUUGUGUGUGCAUCCAGGGGUUGGUGCGUCCCAGUAGUCAAAGCAGCAUAAAGCUUAAGAUCAUGCCCAAGGUGAAGAGGGAGAAGGAAAAGCUCCACAAGCAGAAGUCAAACCGCUCGCUCGCUCUCAGGUUGGAACAGCCGAUAAAACACACCCAAAGUCAUCUAGCAGACAAAUUGGAAUUUGGACUGUUUUGAGCAGGUUACUUUGCUUCCCUCUAGUGGCCUGGUGAGGUAAAAUUUGCAGCUGCAUGGCCAGCUACUUGAAGCCGCUUUCACACAGCAUUCCUUUUCCCCCCCUUUCCAUAUUGUCCACCAAUUUAUUCUCCUUUCCUUUUUGAGAGCCUCACCCACCGAAAUAGCCUUUGUCCCGAGAACAUGCGUGCUUGCACACUGCCGAUGUAGGUUGCGACAUUAACAUAAUUAGAUGUCAGCGUGCCAGCUCCGAUUGUUUACAACACAAAGUAGCAUGCGUAGUGAUUUUUAAAAAAAUGAAUACCUCUCUGACAUUUUCAAUCCAAAAAGUAUUUUAUACAUGAUAAUUGGUCCUAAAGUUGUGGCCAGUUGUUAAAGAUGUACUGUUUUCAGAAGAACCUUUGAAAAUCAUUUUUGUGCGCACGUGUAUAUAGAGUACAUAUUGUGGGCAUCGGGCCAAAUUUGCUCCGUCUAUCCAUCCAUUUUCAACACCGCUUAUCCCGCUAAAGGUCGCGGGGCGCUGCGCCGGAGCCUAUCCCAGCUGAUUUUGGGCUCCAGGCGGACUAAGCCCUCAACUGGUCGCCAGUCAGUCGCAGGGCACAUAUAGACAGGGACAACCAUUCGCACUCACAUUCACACUGUCACUGAGUGGGAAGUGAACCCACGCUGCCCGCACCAAAGUCAGGCGAGUGUACCACGACACCAUCAGUGAUUUACCCAAAUGUGUUCAAUUUCCUAUUUUUUCACCAAUUGAUACUGUUGUUCAGUCCACACGUGGGACUGUUAUUCUUCCAAAUGACUGAGCGUUGUAAAUUGCUUGCUCUUUGACGAUGCAGCGUUAAUAAAGACGUCGUUAUUUUGUUUUCCUGAAAAGUAAUGGUUUUGCACAUGCAAGUAUUCCACCCAACGCCAAUGAUAUCCAACCUAUAGGAUACAGCGUGGUUUUUGUACGAGCGCGCAUUUGGAGUUUGUAAUCGCUUGCGGUCGUGCGGCUUUAGGAACACGGGAUGUCAAGUGUACGACUCCUGAAGCAUAAUCGCCAGGCAACUGAUGAUCUUUUCCGGCCCCUAACCUUGACCGCCGCGAUUGAGGAGAUGCCGUCCUCUUAUCUGCCGGCACCCUGACUGCGGCGUAGGCGGCAAGGAUUAGCUGUUUUGCGUUUCCUUACUGUGCAUUUUUUUUCCCGAAGCGGUGUCACUUGCAUUGCUCCUCCACUGGCCUGCUGUGCUAAUGAAAGAGCCUACAAUUCUGUCAUUUUGUCAUAAACCGUGUCUACAUGUUGCUUGCAUGCAGCAGAGUACAGAACAUCUUUUAGAAACGACACGAUGGAAACCGCCUUCAGACUGAAAUGAGACUUUUGGGGACACCUUGUUUCUACGCCAAGCAACCUUCAAUGGCACCAGAAGCCGAUGUGCAGAAAUCUUGGACGUUGAACAGAAAAGAAAAACAUUGACUGUAUUUGUGUGUUGAGCUGUUAAUAAUACUACUGUUAAUAAUACUGAUAAUGAUGUGCACAUGCAAGGUGCUCAAGUGGUUUUGACUUUGUUUGGCUUGUCGUGACCUCAACUAAAGAGGUCACGGGGGUGGUUCACGAUUAGCUGACUCGAGAUGUAAUGCACCAAUGUGAAUGUUUGCUUUGCCAGUAGUUCCCAAUUGUUCUUAUCGUCUUGCUCUCGUGGGUUUGCUGUCCAAUCCCCCACCACCCCCAGGUCCCCCCAACCAUCCCCCUGUGCGUUCAUAAACACGAUAGGAUCAAUCAAGAAAUUAAGUUGGCCAAAUGGGGAAAUUUGUAGUUUGCAUAAGCAUGUUUAGUCUAAGCUGAUGCUUGCUGUGAGGGGCAUACUAAAUGAUAGCGCGUGCAGGAACAUGCUCGUUUCCGCUCACGGUCGAGCAUUGCCAAGCUCCACUGUCGUCGGGUGCUGUUUCUGCAUCCAGUGUGCGCUGCUGCCUUUUUGCCUUCAUGGCUUUUGUGGUGUUGUGCCAAGUAGAGCGACACACUCCAGUGGUGUGUGCAAUGUGGCGUUCAUUUCAAGUUUACUGUGUCUGGGCUCGCACUUUACAGACUCCUUGAUGGGGGAAAUGUGCGUGUACACGCGUUUACGUCAAAUUAGGUGAAGAAUAUGACUUUUUAUUUGUGAUGAACUAUUAAAUAUAUAAUGUAAAAAUGCACGCCCAUCGAUGUGAUCCAUGGCUGUGGCGUUCCUGCUCCUGCGUCCACUGAUGCGCUGGGCCAACGUGUUACCAUGGUAACCACGUUAGCCAUUUGAAGCUUAAAGCCAAAGCUUAAGUCGACUCGUGAAUCACUUAUUGAAGAAGAUAAAAUGUUUGUGUACAAUGUGUAACUUUUUGAAAUUGUAUCAUCAACUUGUUCUGAACAUAUGAAUGAAAUGUGUAUAUGGGUUUUAAAAAGAAAGCUCAUGUAUAUUUAAUUUGAUCAAUGAUUGUUUGAAUGUAAUUUAAUGGGGUUAACAAUGAUUCCGCAAUGCCGGGUGUUUGCACGAGUGUGUGCGUGUUGCCAGUUGUUCCGUCAUGUAUCAAAGAUAAGCUUUGGAAAUUAAAAUGACUUGAUGGUGUGAUAAA